CAGCAGCCGCGGGAAUACAGAGGGUGCGGGCGUUAAUCGGAUUUACUGGGCGUAAAGCGUGCGUAGGCGGCUUCUUAAGUCGGAUGUGAAAUCCCUGAGCUUAACUUAGGAAUUGCAUACGAUACUGGGAAGCUAAAGUAUGGGAGAGGAUGGUAGAAUUCCAGGUGUAGCGGUGAAAUGCGUAGAGAUCUGGAGGAAUACCGAUGGCGAAGGCAGCCAUCUGGCCUAAUACUGACGCUGAGGUACGAAAGCAUGGGGAGCAAACAGGAUUAGAUACCCCUGUAGUCCCUGUCUCUUAUAC
Molecule: ribosomal RNA, 301 nt
Filed under: uncultured bacterium
Lineage: Bacteria
Description: partial 16S ribosomal RNA
Rfam family: Bacterial small subunit ribosomal RNA
Source: RNAcentral